ACAGCAGGAGCCGUGAGGCAAGAAGCUCUGGGAUCAAUUAAAAUGCCAGGCUUUUCCAGGCUGGUUUCCAGCGCAUCUGUGCAUGAUUCCACAUAAAUUUAGGGAAUUAGAGAUCAGACAAAGUUAUAAGACAGCUGUUGAUGUCCCACUCACCAGUUAGGAGGAUUGAGAAGAAGCUGCUUUCCAGGAAAUCCCAGUCAACUUCCAAAUAGAUCUCUUUGGUCAAAAAUGUGUCACAGCUCCAACUCUUUUUUUGUAAGUUGCUGUUAUACAAAGAGGAAUGAAUUCAUCAUCAAACAUCUGUACUUCAAUGUCAACAUGUGGUUCAAUAGCAAACAAGUGAUUCCAUGAUUUAAAUGAAGAGCUAGCAGGUUUGAAUUUUAUGUUGAAUCAGUUUCUAGAAUUUCUUCUAAAAUUUGAGCCAACAAUUCUGGGAAAAUCAUCUGCGAUGGUGAACACAGGCAGGGGCCACAUCUGACUUACCUCUAGCUCCAGGUACUGAAGAGCCACUGGGGAGAGCUCAGUCAUGUAAUCCAAUACUAUCUAAGUGAAGAGCCUAGCCUUGGAGGAGCAGAGCAGGAAGACUAUUUCAAAAAGUAGAUGAAAGUAGGAGAGCUGAGUAUGCAAUUUUUGUGUUGUGCAGAACACGUGUUGGGAUGUCAAAGAUCACAAUGUUCUACAGAGCAAUUAGGGGAAUCACUUUUGGUCCAAUUUCAGCACUUUACAAAAUAGUUUAACAAAGUUCUAAGGAAUGAAGGUCUUCUCCAAGGCCAUCCUCAGCGAGGUAAUCAGUGAGUGGCAGACAUGGGAGCUGACGCCUCUUGGUCAUGCCCUGGACCUAGUAAAGUGGAGUAGCUUUACAGGUAUACCAGGUGUUUGCUAAUGAUCACUUCUUUUUUUUUUUAAGACUGAGUUUUGCUCUUGUUGCCCAGGCUGGAGUGCAAUGGUGUGAUCUCAGCUCACUGCAAACUCCGUCUUCUGGGUUCAAGUGAUUCUCCUGCCUCAGCCUCCCAAGUAGCUGGGAUUACAUGCACCGCCACACCUGGCAAUUUUUUUGUAUUUAUUUGAGAUGGAGUUUCACCAUGUUGGUCAGGCUGGUCUCGAACUCCUGACCUCAGGUGAUCGACCCGCCUCAGCCCCACAAAGUGCUGGGAUUACAGGCAUGUGCCACCACAUCCGGCCAAUGAUCAAACGUUUUACAGAAGUUUUUAAAGAGCCACACCAGUGGAAACAUUCAUAACACCUUACCACCCAAAUUAACAUCAACUCAAAAGUUAUGUUUGGCCCACAGAGAAUUAAUACAAAGAAAUAUCUACGAGAAAACCUCAAAAAUUUCACAUCUAAGGCAAAAGCCAGAGAUUACAGAGUUAACAUAUUUUUGGAGCUGAGGGGGAAAGUCUCUCAGCUUAGAUCUUCUGAACCAGAGCUCUACACCUUUCUGCAAAAGAUCAUUUCCCCUGCUAAAAACCUGGCAAUAAGAACCUCCUUUUUUUGGUGGGAGGUAUUAUUUGGCCAAAAGUGAGAUUUCAGCCAGAAACAUGGGGAAACUGAACUUGUUGUUAAGCCACUGAAGACACCUCUUUCCUUUGAAAUAACUUAUUCUGACUGAUGCUAAAGGCGCUGGUAGAAUUUCCUUCCCUUCAUAAAAUCACUGUAGUUGCAAUGAUAGCUCUGAAGUUGUGGGAGUAAAGAUCUGCUAAAACAUCAUUUGGAUUUAAUCACAAUACCAGAGGAAAAGAAUAAAAGCUGUGUUUUUUUUUUUUUCAACAACAGCAAACUGCUGGAUGGAUAUUGCCAGAAAUUAAUUGAUCAAGAAAAGCUCCUAGAAAUCUUUUUUUUUUUUCAAAACGUACCUUUUGCGACAGCUUCAAACUUGAUCUCUGAGCUCCAGUGAAGCACAAAUUACUGUGUGGCAUUUUAUCUCACAGAUUAGAGAAGGUCCUAAAUAGCAUGCUGUGCCUUUCUUAAAAUGCUGUCCCCAAUCAAGUUUUUUUUUUUAAUCUUCUUUGAAAUUUCUCAUAUUGCAUUGGGUUCUUCACCCAAAGGAAAUGACAUUUUUAGUUAAAAAGUAAUAAAGUAUAAUUAAAACAUAAAUAAUUUAAAAAGAUUUUGAUAUAAGCCUGAAAAUGGGCAUGUGAAUAAAUUUGCACCAUGUCCCAGGAAGUACAUUGGUAGACAUAUUUGGGAAGGAUGAAUUCACUGCCUGGAGGGGUCCAGACAUAAUGGCUAGUACCCCAAGUUCUCCAAGUACUCCCUUGAGGUUUCCAGAUAAACUGCUUUUUUAGUCAAAGAGCCUCUACAGAAAGCCUGCUGCUGCAUUGCCUCAUGGAGAAGAGAGAGCCCCACCACUUCUAGUCAGCUGCAAAAGCCAGGAGUCCCACCACUUCUAGUCAGCUGCAGAAGCCAGAAGUCCCACCACUUUUAGUCAGCUGCAGAAGCACUCUCUCUGCCUCAGCAAACACAAGUAACUGCAGUAUCUAACCAGAGAGGACCUUCCUACAAAACAGGAGGUGAAAUUAGGAUAAACAGGACUUGGGAAAAUAAUUGAUUUUACAGAAUGUGGCUGCUGUAAUAAAUGGCUUCCUUGGAGGACCUAAAAUACAGAGGGGAAGCCGCAACUAGAAUACGGACAGAAGCAGUAGACCUGAACCUGGAAGCCUACAAACCCUUUUUCUGGUAACAUUCAUUCACAUAUCCACCUCCCUUCCUCUCCCUGCAAUAGGAUACACACAAAGGGGCUACUUGUCAAAUAGCAACAAUUAUACAAUGACUAAGCAUCGUUGUCUGCGUUCCACAUUAAAAUGUGAUUUAAAAAUAAAAUCUAAUUGGAGG
Molecule: long non-coding RNA, 2832 nt
Organism: Pan troglodytes (chimpanzee)
Lineage: Eukaryota; Metazoa; Chordata; Mammalia; Primates; Hominidae
Exons: 6
Source: RefSeq, a predicted model, not a curated record